GAGCUAUGAGGAAUUCUGCGCACUAUUGAUGGAUGGGGUCCAUCAGCAUCAUCUGAACUUCAGAUGAAAUCAAGCGCAACUGAGCUC
Hevea brasiliensis (rubber tree) is the source of this 87-nucleotide small nucleolar RNA. RefSeq annotates it as small nucleolar RNA snoR114. The record is from RefSeq and is a predicted model, not a curated record. Lineage: Eukaryota; Viridiplantae; Streptophyta; Magnoliopsida; Malpighiales; Euphorbiaceae. The transcript has a single exon.